Long non-coding RNA from Canis lupus familiaris (dog), 435 nucleotides. RefSeq lists it as uncharacterized. The transcript is spliced from 3 exons. NCBI's taxonomy places the organism in Eukaryota, Metazoa, Chordata, Mammalia, Carnivora, Canidae. The record is from RefSeq and is a predicted model, not a curated record.
AAGCGCAAACGCAAGGACACUAAGUGUGAGCCGCCGGGCACCCGUAGCUGAGCUUCCCAGGCUCCUACGCGGGCACCGGAAGUGGCCGCCCAGCUUGACUUCCGCUCCCAAAGCACUCGCUCCCGGGGCUCGCGUUCUGGUUGUUAGGAAACCACCAAGGAGUUUGAGAGCAUGGAGGCCGCGCGCCCUCCCUCUACGGCAGGGAGGUUCGUGGUGGUCGGCGGAGGCAUCGCGGGUGUCACCUGUGCUGAGCAGGGAGAAAUAGAACAUGGUGGUUUUGAAGAAUCAGAGUGUGAUUUAAGAAGAUUCUUUCAAGAAGCUUAAAGUGAGAGAGAGGUUGUAGCCAGAGGAAAAUGAUGAAAAAAAAUGGCAACCUUUUUUUUUUUUUUAAGUAAGUUGGCUGACUCUGGAAAACUCUGUGGAGGUUCCUCAAAG